Molecule: ribosomal RNA, 1038 nt
Filed under: uncultured bacterium
Lineage: Bacteria
Description: bacterial SSU rRNA
Rfam family: Bacterial small subunit ribosomal RNA
Source: RNAcentral
GGUGAGCUGAUAGUAGCGGAAGAGGAAGGGACCGGCUAACUCUGUGCCMGCAGCCGCGGUAAUACAGAGGUCCCAAGCGUUGUUCGGAUUCACUGGGCGUAAAGGGUGCGUAGGUGGUGAGGUAAGUCGGAUGUGAAAUCUCCGGGCUCAACCCGGAAAUGGCAUUGGAAACUACCUUGCUGGAGGAUUUGAGGGGGGGAUUGGAAUACUUGGUGUAGCAGUGAAAUGCGUAGAUAUCAAGUGGAACACCAGUGGCGAAGGCGAAUCCCUGGAAAAUACCUGACACUGAGGCACGAAAGCUAGGGGAGCAAACAGGAUUAGAUACCCUGGUAGUCCUAGCCCUAAACGGUGCUUGCUUGCUGUAAGAGGAAUCGACCCCUCUUGUGGCGGAGCUAACGCGUUAAGCAAGCCGCCUGGGGAAGUACGGUCGCAAGAUUAAAACUCAAAGAAAUUGACGGGGGCCUGCACAAGCGGUGGAGUAUGUGGCUUAAUUCGAUGCAACGCGAAGAACCUUACCUGGCCUUGACAUGCACAUAGUAGAAGCCUGAAAGGGUGACGAGGUAGCAAUACCAGUGUGCACAGGUGCUGCAUGGCUGUCGUCAGCUCGUGUCGUGAGAUGUUGGGUUAAGUCCCGCAACGAGCGCAACCCCUGUGUCCUGUUGCCACUCGAACGAGAGUUCGAAGCACUCUGGACAGACUGCCUCAUUUUAAUGAGGAGGAAGGUGGGGAUGACGUCAAGUCAGUAUGGCCCUUACGGCCAGGGCUGCACACGUACUACAAUGCCCGGUACAAAGGGGAGCAAAACUGUAAGGUGGAGCAAAUCCCAGAAAACCGGGCUCAGUUCAGAUUGGAGUCUGCAACUCGACUCCAUGAAGCUGGAAUCGCUAGUAAUGGCGCAUCAGCUACGGCGCCGUGAAUACGUUCCCAGGCCUUGUACACACCGCCCGUCACAUCAUGAAAGCCGUUUGUACCCGAAGUCGCCCCUUAAAAGGUGCCGAAGGUAUGGAUGGUGAUUGGGAUGAAGUCGUAACAAGGUAA